UGACUUAACGAGCGAGCAUGCUAUGUCGGUAGGAUGUAAACAUUGUCAGUGUGUUGGGAGAGGGGAAUGGCCGGUAGCAGUGGACACGUGUGUCGGUCGGCUGGACAUGUACCUGGCAUACUGGAUACCUACCAAGUGACACCAUGACGGAAUAUAUCGGCAAGGACGAACAGACCCUGCGUUCUCUUUUGGAUGCUUGUACUAGUUUUGAAGAGAGGAGAAAGAUACGAGCUGCCAUUCGCCAGCUGAAAGAUGGGGCAGUGAAAUCUCACAGUUUCUCUGUCAAACCAUUUGUCUCAAGUGCAUUAGACAAUAAGGAUGCAGGGACUGGUGUAGCUCGACCCAGUCUAGGUCUUCACAGGACAUCCAGUGACAACUUCAACAGCAUUUCCCAACGCAGGAGCUACCACUGCGGUACAUCUUCAAGUGAUGGCACAACUAGGUCCAGCAGUGGGGAUUCCUGGACACCAUCAGGGGAUAGCAAUAGAGUGCCCAGGCACAGUGGACACUUAUCAAGCUCAGAGGGGAGAAACGGUGUGGAUAGAUACAGUUCUAGGUAUUCCUCUGGAGGCACAACAGACACUAGAACAGAGGUAUUGCCGCCGAGGAGUUUUCAUUCAUCUACCUCAAAUAGCAACAGCAAUCCAAAUUCCAGAUCAUAUGCUGCAUCCUCUGCAGAUGGUAACAGUGUAACUCAACUGAGGAGCUCACAUCUCUCUACAUCUGCCAGCAUCUUGUGUCCAAGCAGUGUAGUCUCUGUCGGGCCAUCCACAGACUGUGUAUCUAGUCACACCUCCAGAGUGGAGUCGCACCAUCCAAUCAUCAAAGCAGGACAUGACAAACAUAGUAAUGCCAGCAGAAUUCUCGUCAAUAUUCGAGAGUCAUUAAACUCUGUGGUGUUAAGAAAAAAUGUUUUAAAUAUCCAUUCAACUCCACCACAGACCUCGAGCAGUGUUAACUUCAGGAACGGUGUUUCCAAUGCCCUCACCGACCUUGCAUCAGAGGGGUUGGCAACUCCUCUCCAGGAGGUGAGCAGUGCUUGUGUGAGCAGUGCCAGGUCAGUGUCACUCAGCUCUGAUGAUCUCACCAGAAGCAGUGACAACAUCCCUCGAUGGCGCAGUGCCUCCUACACCUCUAUACCGGGGGCAGAUAACAACAUAAAACAGAAGACCGCUGCAAGUGCUUUGGUGAUAAAUGACUCUGUUAUAGAAAACUGCAAAUCUGAGGAAUACCUGCAAUACCUGCUAUUGAGAUCCUCAGAAUUUGUAGAAAGACGAAAACUUAGAACCAGGAUAAGAGAACUACGUGAAAACAGAGAAGACAAGGACCUUGUUGAGAAAGGUGAUUUGAAGAAGAGCAACUCCGAUGACAGCAAAGUUAAACAUAGUAGCCAUGGCCUUACUCCAAGGGGAACAACCCUUACUCAUGUACAGAGGGACAACCCUGCUGGUGGAGGCACACUACAGCUGGAUUAUGACAAGAUAGAAACACUGGAGGAAUUCAAAACAUUGCUUGCUGUCACAGAAGACUAUGAAGAGAAGAGGAAAAUCAGGAAUUCUAUGCGUCAGCUUCGAAGACGAUUGGAUUUAGAGAAAGUCAAGUUGUCUGCUGGAAAUAGGUUGUCGAAGGCCGAGAGCAGCCUGCGGCGCCAGUCAGAGGACAUCACACUGCACAGACCUCAGUUUGUGAGCCAGACAGACUCCAGAAGACUCUCAGAGGAUGGAACCAGCACCAAGGUCAAUACUGGCCUGGAUAAGAGAGAGGACAGCACACUGAAACACUUUGACCUGAGACAGACUGAUUCUGACUCCAUAGUCAGAUUAAACUACCCAACAGUUGAGAUCCAAUUCUCUACUGAACAGCUGAAACAAACGGUGACAACUAGUGAGGGCGGUAGGGCAGGAAACAAAGUGGGACCUUGCACAGACAGGGCUGACAAGGCAGGGACAUCCUCUUCUACAAGUGUGCCCAAGAAGGCAGAGGCAGGAGCUGGAGCUGGGGUGGAGGAAGAAGACUUUCUCUCCAAGAUUAAAGCUAGGCUUAGUAGUCGAGAGAAAGGUCAAGGUGGACAAAGUCAAUCAAUAACCCGAGGGUCACAGAAAAGCAAAGACAGUGGAGGGAAUACUGACAAGAGAAAUACAGCUAGCUCCAAACCUGGACCCUCCCCACCACAUGUUAAGGACAGGAAAGGUAACCUUAGUAAAACAGCAGAUGUGCCAGCAAACACCAGGAAGGUUGUUUUAACGGGCAAAGGCAAAUUGUUGACACCUUCAAGCUCUGGACAGUCAGAACCUUUUGUUUCAAAGAAAGGCAAAAGUCAACCAUUGAAAACUGAUAACUAUAAUCUAAUCAUUGACAGUAGAAGGGAAUCUACAUUGAAAUCAAAUUUGACUGUGAAACUUAACUCUGGGGCAACAAGAGGUUCAGAUGCAAAGGACAAAGUUCGUGUCAGCAAGGGAAUAGAUUCUAAGAAAAGAGUCCUGCCAGAUGUUGACAAACUCAAGUUCAAGGCUGGAGGCUUUGCAGUGAAGAAAACGACCGACAGUGAGAAAAGAACUGUGUUUGAUAGGCUCUCCCAGGGUAAAGAGAGCCCUAAUGCUGUACCCAGUAAACACAAAGGUAAUGUUGAGUUGAACCUGUCUGCUGUUUCCCCUGUUACAUCUGUGUCUGUGAAGACCAUAGUAACUGAAAGUAGUUCUCUAGUGCCUAAAGACCACACACCAGAGACUCCAACAGUCAGCAGCAACAGCAGCACUACGCUCUUGCCAACUACAGCAUCAGCCACUUCCAAUCAGAAGGAUUCGAGCAGAGAUCACAAGUUCAGUGACUCUACAGAUCAAUGUGCCAAACGGACCGGUGACUCAAACAACACUGAGUGUUUUGUGGUGAAAUCAGACAAAUGUACAGACAAGUAUGUGUUUAAGGUUGACCUGAAGCCUAAAUCAAAAGGUCUGAGUCGGUCCCAUAGUGAUGUUCUUCCCCAAACUCGAAGCUGGUUUAAGAAAACUGGUCAGGUAGAAUGCAAUCCUUUGAAAAGUUUUGAGAAUCGGUCUGAUAUUGAAAAAGCCUUCAUGGAUAUGCUAGAUGAUAUUGACCAUGUUAGUACAGCAUCUGAUACUAAACUGUCUGAUCUAGAAAUCAGUGAUGAUGACCUUGACCAAGUUACCAGCAAGACUAGCAUACAGACAAUUGCUGAGAGUACUGACAAUGAUAGAGAUAUGACUAUGGAUACUAUUGUUGCUGGUGUCAACCAACAUGUGGAGCAGAGUAAAUCAUGGAUAUUGUUGCGUAAUGUGAAGGAAGACCUAAGUGCAAUAAAGUUCAUAGAUGAGAAUGACAACAGUGAGGUGCUCGGGAAUGUUGAUGGAGGGCAACAUGGACAAAUGACCAGUGGCCAGCCUGCCACUUUAGGUGUGGAAAGUAGGCCGAGCACCAUAGAGGAGGUGGCCUCGUGUCCUGAAGAAAACAACAAUGUCCAGGAGAAGUUGACUAUUCGUGAUGUAGAAUCUGAUGUGAUGGACAAUUUUGCUGGAGUUGUGGAUACUGCUGGUGUGCCCAGUGGGUCAGACAGCAUAGAGAGGGAGACAUCCAGUGGCCACAGUGACAACACUGUGUCUGCCCACAGUGACAGUGCAAUAACAUACCAAGAGGAUGAUGAUGGCACAGUGACGGUCCAGCAGGUGACUCAGGAUGACCAUCAGGAUAGGGUAGUGACUGUCCGGUCCAAGAUUUUCCGUACUCCCAGCAAUGCCCAGGCUGAGGAGCGGGACACUGUUGUAGAGACGUUGUUCACAUCGCCCGGUGGAACACAACUGCAAGAGCGUGAUGUCAUCAAGACCAAGAAGAGGCUGACAUCUCGAGGUUCCAACUACUUCCAACGCAGUGUGCAAGUCACAAGACGGGUUCGGGACACAGCAGGUGGGGAGGUCGUGGAGCAGGAUAACUGUGUGGAGUCCGACAGCAAGUCAGUGUCCAAGGGGCAGUCGUGGGGAGACAGAGUCAUCACCAAGGUCACCCUAGACAAGCCGAAUCAACAGCAGCCCAUGAUACAAGAGGCAGCAGAUGCACCUAAGAAAUCCCAUGCUACCCUGGUGCUGAGCAAGCUGAAUGUGUCCAAGGCCAGCAGCGGGUAUGGGAGUGUGUCCGGGUCAGAGGAGGAUGACCGUGAGGAGAUCAUAGACAUCCAUCAGACAAGACCAAAAGGUUGUCCGGAGAUCACCGUCCCCGUGAAGGACGUGGAUGUGAGGGAGGGGGAUGACGUGGUGCUGGAGUGUGCUGCCACAGCCGACCCUGCACCCGCGGUCACCUGGUAUCUGGGGUAUCAGCAGAUAGAUGCAGAUGAUAAUCGGUAUCAUACACACUUUGUUGAAGCCAGUGGCAAGGCCACCCUCACCAUCUGCUGUGCCGAAAACAUGGACAGUGGUCAGUUUCGCUGUGUGUUCACCAAUCAGUAUGGAGAGGCAGAGACCAAGAACUCAGUUACAGUCAAGAAGAAACCUGAGAAAGUCCCAGUGUUUUCAUUGGGUCUGCAUGAUGAGACGGUGAUAGAGGGGCACUCCAUCACCUUGACCUGUACAGUGGCAGAUGCUGAGACCAUUGGUUGGUACAAGGAUGGGUUUGUCCAACGCAACUCCUCAGACUUCAAGCAGAGCUAUGAUGGAGAUGUUGCCCGUCUCGAGAUUGGAGAAGUCUUUCUGGAUGAUGUUGGGGAAUAUGCCUGUGUUGCUCGCAAUGAGUUGGGGGAGGAUCGCACGGCAUGCCAAAUAACUGUGACAGCCUGUGACACGGAGACGUCCGUUGUGCCCAUGUUCCUCACCAAGUUCACCAAGUCUGUCAUCAAGGUCGGGGACAAGCUCCUCCUGGAGUGUGAUAUUAUUGGGUCACCAGAACCAGGGAUCAACUGGACCAAAGAUGGCCGUCCUCUGCGGGAGGACUGCCCAUAUAACGAAAUGUACGACGGACGUACAGCAAAACUUGAAAUAGAGGAUGUCACAACCGAUGAUUCAGGGAAAUAUGAAUGUAUUGCUGUUAAUGAAGCUGGUCGAGUGUCUCUUGAUGCCAGUGUCACAGUGCAGGUAAAGAACAAGUCUCCAUCUGUGACGGUUCCACUGUGUGAUGUGGACAUUAAGGCAGGUGAGAGUGCCAUCUUGACUUGUCACAUCUCAGGCUUUCCACAGCCAAGCGUCCUAUGGAGGAAGAAUGGAAUGUUGAUUGGGCACACCAAGGACUUUAAACAGAUGUAUGAUGGCAGGAUAGUGAAACUGGAGAUCUAUGGAGUGUGUUUCCAGGACAGUGGGCAGUAUGAAUGUGUCGCACGCAAUGGACUGGGAGAGACUUCAACCACAUGUCUACUCACAGUGAAAGAUACAUCAGCCCCACAAGAAUCAAUGUUGCCACCAUCCUCCAACAUGUCCAGUUCACCGAUCACAAGAUCUACAACGCCACCACAAACCAUCAUUGGUCUAGCCUUGUCUCGUCCUGCCUCACAGCGGAGUAGUCAUGGACCUCUACACCUGUCUUCUCCCACCAGCCCUACAGCUUCACAGAACAUCAGCAGCAGUUCUGUGGGACAGGCAACUUCCCAUACAUCUACCAAGGUAGUGUCACCCUUGGUCUCUCCAUCUACUGCAUUGCCCACCCACAUUAUUGGGAAGGCUCUGACAAGGUCCGCUUCCAUGACCAUCACUACUGUAGCCUCUUCUGCAACCUCUCCAUCAGCUCCAUUACCAGCAGAUGUUAUUGGGAGUGCUGAAACGUUGUCAUCUUCCAAGAUGUCUACAAGUUUAGUCACUUCUCAAGAAUGCAAGGCUUCUGCUUCUUUCACAAGAUCAGCCUCCCAGAGAUCUAUCACGGUAAUCUCUUCUCCAGAAUCUUCUCCCACCACUCCAUUGUCAUCUCAUGUCCUUGGUAAAGCCAUUACAAGGUCAGCCUCGCAGAGAGUCACAUCAUCCUCUCAGAGCAGCUCAUCACCACCACAGAGCAUUAUUGGAAAAGCACUAGAAACUUUAGCUGCCAAGUCACCUUCAUCACAUCAGAAUGUAAGCAGAUCAUUGUCCUCGCCAACCAAUACUCAAAUAGAAAUAUUAACAAAGCCACUAACUGGCACUGUUGGUGAUCCUCCACGGAUAAUAAGAAACAUUCCAAGUACUGAAUCCAUCUCUGUUCCUGCAAGGUCCAAGCCUCUCAAUACCAUUGGUAAAUUCCUUGCACUGUCCGCAGCUAAGGACUUGGGUCCAUCAUUCCCCAUCAGGACUACACUAGAUAGUCCCACAGAAAGAAGCCCCAGCCCAGUCACACCAACACAGCACCAGGAGAGCAGUAACCUCAAGAAAGCUCAGACACAGACACAGACACAGACACUACAACUGUCCAAAGUGCAGCAAUUACGUUUGCAGUUCUUAGGCGAGGCCAACCAAACCAAACAGAAUAAAGUCAGUAGUGCACCAAUCAGAAGAUGGCAUUCUCUUCCUCCACAAGACCUCAAGCCAAUCAUUGUCAAGAAGGAGAAGGGGUCUGUGACACGAGCCCAGCAGCUACACAGCAGCACUGACUCAAGGGGGGCAACCAUGCCAACCUACGAGGACAUCAAUGAUGAGGAGGAGCUCAUGAAAGUUAUGAGCAAGACAGAUGACUUUGAUGAACGAAAGAAGAUCCGUGCAAGGUUAAAAGAAGUGAGAGAAAUAGAUAAAUUGGAGCGAGAAGCAAAGCGGAUGCAGAGGGAGAAGGAGUCGGAAGAUGUUGUGAAGAAGAGGUUCGAGAAAGCAGAAGAAGAUAAGAAGAGGAAGAUGCAGCAGUUCUCAGACAUGGCUGCCAAACCCUCUUCUGUGGCGACAACAACCAAGACUGGAUCUGAUGGAGCCCAGAUAACCACAACCACCACUACCAGCACAUCCACACAGAAGGCAGAUGGAGGCGGCACUCGUACACAGACUGUGAAGAAAACAGAAACGACCAUAACAAAAACAUCAGGCAUGGGUGGCAUGCAGUACGCAAAGCCAGGGGCAGCAGAAGCAUUGAGAAAGCUGUCUGACCAGCUUCAGACCACGAGUCCCCCGGGCACCAGUGGGAGGCUGAUGGUGAAGACAGAGUCCUGGAACAGUAGCGAUGGGGUGGUACAUACGUCAGAGAAGACAGAGUCAUGGGGAGCAAAACCAGGAGGUUCUCGUGGUGCCAUGGCGGCCUUCAAACAGAUGGAUGCCACCAAUAGUCCUGCACAACCCAAUGCUUUAGUUACCGUAUCACUGGCUAAGAAGGCUGCUACAACAAUGAGACGUAACGCUAUUGCCAUCAAACAGGAAGUGCUUGCCUUCUGCAAACACAACACGAAAGAAUACAAGACGAUACAGAUCACCAACUUCUCUAGUUGUUGGAACAAUGGACUGGCAUUCUGUGCACUCAUCCAUCACUUCUUCCCGGAUGCCUUCGACUUCAAUGCACUCACUCCAAAAAACAGACGGUAUAACUUUGAUCUGGCCUUUGACACUGCAGAGCAGAGGGCUGACAUAGCGCCUCUACUGGAUACAGAUGAUAUGGUGCGGAUGAAAAACCCCGACUGGAAGUGUGUGUUUACCUAUGUCCAGAGUAUCUACCGACAUCUGCGUGAUCAUGACGCCAACAAGGCCAAGGAAGCAGAGCAGUGAUUGGCUGACCAGCUGACCACUGCUUACACAGCAUCAUGCAGUUGUUGUUAUUUUUGUCAUGUAACUUAUUGAGUAUGUAACAUUUAAUCAUGUACUGGUCCUGCUGCACUGGCUGGCCGGACGGCUGUGUAUGAUGCAGCAGCUAGUGCAGGAGUACCAAGUAGAACACGGGUGACACAGUGAUUCCGACUUCCAACUCACCUGACUCAGUCCUUGGGCAUAAGCACAGAUCUGUUUCGUCUCUUUCGAAUUUGCCAUCACAUGGCUUCAAAUAGUGAAGUCACAAUGAUCAACAGAUAAGUGUUUAUUAUAAAAUUAUCCAAGAAGUAUGUGGAUGGAAGGCUAGUGAAGAGGAUGGAGUCUCAUAACUGUGUAUCACAUCACCUGUUGAAGAGUGUAAGAAGAACAUAUUACAACCAGUAGGUAGCCAAAACAGUUUCUAUAGCAAAUACAAAACCAAGGUCUUCCAGGUUUCUACUCUACAUUGGGUAUUAUGUUUACUGUGAUUGUGAUAUUAGAUUGGUGUCUUUAUGUGGUACAGGUAUAUCGUGUGCAGUAGAUGACAAACAUGGCCAUGUCAUGGUCGGCUGAUCAGCAUUUGAACCACCAGUCUGGAGCUCAGCGUGUGCUAUUGCGGUAUCUGUUGUGGGGAGUGAUGAAGGACAGUAUGAUGCUGAGACUGUGGAUGGGAAGGUCCAUAGCAUCUCAAGUCAGCUGAGCUCUGAUAGUGUGCUGCAGUCAUGGAAUGUUCCUUGCUUCACCUUGCAGCCAAAUAACAUCCAUACAUCAUGGUGUAUCUUACCCCUUGUACCAACUCACUGUCACACCUGCAGGUGACUGGGUCACUGUCACACCUGCAGGUGACUGAGCACUGUAACACCUUUGGGUAACUGAACUUCUGUCACACCUGCAGGUGACUGAUCCACUGUCACACCUGCAGGUGACUGAGCCACUGUAACACCUGUGGGUGACUGAUCAACUGUCACACCUACCAGUGACCGGGCCACUAUAUCACCUGUGGAUGACUGAUCAACUGUCAUACCUGCAGGUGACUAGGCCACUGUCACACAUGCAGGUUCCUGAACUUCUGUCACAACUGCAGGUAACUGAUCCACUGUCACACCUGCAGGUGACUGGGCCACUUUAACAGCCUUGUGUGACUGAUCCACUGUCACACUUGCAGGUCACUGAUCAACUGUCACACCUGCAGGUGACUGAUGCACUGUAACACCUGCAGAUGACUGAUCCACUGUCACACUUGCAGGUAACUGAUCCACUGUCACACCUGCAGGUGACUGAUCCACUGUCAAAACUGCAGGUGACUGAUCCACUGUCACACCUGCAGGUGACUGGGCCACUUUAACAGCUUUGUGUGACUGAUCCACUGUCACACUUGCAGGUCACUGAUCCACUGUCACACCUGCAGGUUACUGAUCAACUGUCAAAACUGCAGGUGACUGAUCCACUGUCACACCUGCAGAUGACUGAUCCACUGUCACACCUGCAGGUGACUGGGCCACUGUAACAGCUUUGUGUGACUGAUCCACUGUCACACUUGCAGGUCACUGAUCCACUGUCACACCUGCAGGUGACUGAUCCACUGUCACAUCUGCAGGUGACUGGGCCAGUGUCACACCUGUGAUUGAUUACACCUCAGUUGUGAUUAUGAAUGUAGAUAUUCAACUUGGAAGCCAAAAGGUUUCAUGAGUUGUGACGUUGAAUGUCGCCAACUCCAUGUAAUGCAUUUAGUCCUGUGUUAGACGUGAAGGAUUUGAUAGGCGAGUGUGCAUAAUAUAAACUACCAUGCAUGUAUAUUCAACUGUGGAUAAGACUGCAUACGUAAUGUUGGUGCUUGAUAGGGUUAAUGGUUUUUGUAUUCCUAGAUGAAUGUAGACUUUGUAUCCGGUGUACUAGCGUAGGUAGACCAAGAGCUGCCAUGCUAGUGGCCAACCUUGCUGUUGGAGACUAGUGUUCUGGAGGUCACUGCAAGAUAUGUCCUUGUUUCAUACACACUAUAGGUGAAGAUAUUCGUAGAAGUAAACAGUGCAAUGUAAUCCCCUUGUGUGAGAUAACUGGCAUUUCAAUCCACAAUACUCAGCAACUUGUAGUCGGGCCCCAUGUGGACAGUGAGAAGCAUUAACAAUGCUGGUAGGUGCUUGACACUGGUCUUAUUCUCAAAUAGAUCACCUCAUUGGUUUAUGCGUCUUAUUCGGCCUAUGCAGUGCUUUGGGCUUCUUUCUAACCAGGUCUGUCUUCAUACAGGGUCUUCUUUACAACGAGUCUACAACAAAGCUAAAACAAAUGUCUUUUUCAGUGUUAAAUUCUAUGGUGGUAUAAUCCCUUCUGUGGUGAGAUUAUAUUAUAAGUUUCUUGAUAUUAUUUCUUGACAUUAUGUUAUACAGAAUGGUAUCUUUUGAGUAUUCCUCUCCAUAAAUGUAAUGAUAAAAUCAAUGGUUCUCAUAAGGACUUACACUACAGGGAACUUUGUGCAGGGUUUAUCACUUAAGUUAUUUGAUGUUAUAGAAAUGCUUCACUGAAAGGUAAUACAAACUUUGGAGGGCUUUGCUUGGAUGUUAGGCAAGGGGUCCACUGCCCCAGCCAAUGUACCUGUGUACACGUCUCUGUCACUGUGUCUGUCCAGCAUUACUCUGCUUUUGAUGAAGUAAUGUGUUUUAUUUCCAUUUUGUAGAUAUUCAAUUUUACUAUCAUAACUUGUACAGUCAACUGUUUUGUAGUGAACUAUUUUCAGUGCUAUUCAAUAUAACUUCUUGUUUUAUUUUUGUUUUGCAUACCAACAUUAAGUUUGUAGUUGUGUUCUCAGGGUGCCGCAAUAUGUAGUGAUAUAUGAUGUGAUGUCCCACGAGCAACAACCUCAGUCAGACCACCAUCAUGACACAUUGAGGCUGCAACACAAAAACGAAAAUAGGUUUCUUAUCUCUUUUUGUAGUUAUGUCCUUUUAAUAUCCAAGUAGUCGGAUAUGUGUUCUCACAUCCCUGUAUUGUAAGAUUCUCUACUGUAAGUGGUGGCACUUUCUGUUGUUGCUCCAUGGUAACAUGUUCGUAAAUCUGUGCCAAAUUUGAAAAAAUGUUUACAAUUGUACUUAAUGACAUCCAUUGCUGCCAUCUGCCACUGGUUGUGAGGGAUCUGUAGAGUAUGGUUAGCAGACAGCAGGUGUGCCGACCAGGCAGAGUGGAUCAGCACUGUACACUAGGCAGGGGGGCUCUAAUGCAGCAAAACUGUGUACUUUCUGUUGUGUGCAUUUACUGUAUAACUUAACAAGUACACAUCCUGUGCAUAUGUUUCUGUAUCUGUUAAUGAAUAAAAAUAAAAUUAUAUCUGG
RNAcentral lists this unclassified non-coding RNA (10981 nucleotides) under Haliotis rufescens (red abalone). RNAcentral's name for it is "uncharacterized LOC124147724, transcript variant X8". Lineage: Eukaryota; Metazoa; Mollusca; Gastropoda; Lepetellida; Haliotidae. The record is from RNAcentral.